GUGGUGUUUGAAUCUUGGGCUAAUGGAGCAGUUGAAAUGCGAGAACAAGCUGCUUUGGGGUUAGGGGAGUUAAUUGCUCUAACAAAUUUGGAGACAUUGAAGGAGUUUGUUAUUCCUGUAACUGGGAAGAAAAGGAAUAGUUUAAGAAGUCAUAUCUUUUAUUGCAAAGGAGAAAGACAGUUUAAGAAAAGGUCACCUUCGAUGCUUGUGGCUUAUUUGCAAAAAGUCAGAUACAUUGACAAAAGUAUCAUGUUUACUUGAGCCUCCUCACUCAGUAAAAACUGGUUUCUCAAAAGCCACAAAGGUUAGAUGGAAUUUAUUCAUUAUUUUCACUAGCAAAAGUUACGAUUGUGAUG
Zingiber officinale is the source of this 356-nucleotide long non-coding RNA. RefSeq lists it as uncharacterized. Lineage: Eukaryota; Viridiplantae; Streptophyta; Magnoliopsida; Zingiberales; Zingiberaceae. The transcript is spliced from 4 exons. The record is from RefSeq and is a predicted model, not a curated record.